AACAGUCGCCCAGCAUGUCCAAAGGAGCACUACAGGGCCAGUGGUAAUGAGAAGGUUUUGUCAAAAAUCCUUCUGGACCCAGUGGAUCAUAAACACAUAUAUCUGCAGUUUGAAAAACAGAUUGAGCGUGUAACAGUGUUGAACUGCGGAGAAUACACUAGUGUGGAGGACUGUCGUACGGAUCCAUUCUGUGUCUGGUGUGUCUCUGAGAAAAGCUGCACAUUUAGUCAAGAUGACUGUAAAGACGACUGGGUGUCCAUCCCUGAUGAAUACCAACAGGAAGUGAUUUCCUACAGAGUUGAG
Long non-coding RNA from Gambusia affinis (western mosquitofish), 303 nucleotides. RefSeq lists it as uncharacterized. The transcript has 3 exons. The record is from RefSeq and is a predicted model, not a curated record. Lineage: Eukaryota; Metazoa; Chordata; Actinopteri; Cyprinodontiformes; Poeciliidae.